RNAcentral lists this long non-coding RNA (924 nucleotides) under Physcomitrium patens. RNAcentral describes it as "long non-coding RNA (PPAT_LNC004764)". Lineage: Eukaryota; Viridiplantae; Streptophyta; Bryopsida; Funariales; Funariaceae. The record is from RNAcentral.
UAGGAUUUGGUUAGGAUUUGAUUUAGGAUUUAGGAUUUGGUUUAGGGUUUAGGAUUUGUAUUAAGAUUUGGUUUAGGGUUUGGUUAGGAUUUGGUUAGGAUUUGGUUGGGAUUUGGUGUAAGGUUUGUUUAGGGUUUGAUUUAGGAUUUGGUUUAGGAUUUGGUUAGGAUUUUAUUUAGGGUUUGGAUUAGGAUUUGGUUUAGGAUUUAGGAUUUGGAUUAAGAUUUGGUUAGGAUUUGAUUUAAGGUUUAGGGUUUGGUUAGGAUUUAAUUUAGGAUUUAGGAUUUGAUUAGAGUUUGGUUUAGGAUUUAAGGUUUGGUUAGGAUUUGAUUUAGGGUUUAGGAUUUGUAUUAGGAUUUGGUUUAGGAUUUGAUUAGAGUUUGAUUUAGAGUUUAGGAUUUGGUUAGGAUUUUGUUAAGGUUUGGUUUAGAAUUUAGUUGGGAUUUGGUUUAAGUUUUGUUUAGGAUUUCAUUUAGGAUUUAGGAUUUUAUUAGGAUUUAAGAUUUAAUUAGGUUUGGCCUAAAGUUUGAAUGAAGUUCAAUAGGAUUUUAAGUAGAAUUAAAUUAAGAUUGAAUUGAGAUGUAUUUGAGUGAUAUUUGUUAUCUUUUUAAUAUUCUUUUAAGAAUUCUUAUUGUUUGUUUAAAAUUUCUUGAGGUUUUUUUGAAUUUGAUUGAAGCUUGCUUAGCAUUAUUAUGAUCAAAUUAGAGUUUAAUUAGUAUUCUAUUAGAAUCAAGAUUUUGUUGUUGCAAUUUCCAUUCUUCCUUCUACAACCAGGUAUCCGGAGCAUUUUCAAGCAAGACUUCACGUAUUACGACACUAGAAUCAAUGAAAAUCCAUCCAAUAUUCCAUGUGUCUCUUCUUGAACCAUACAAGACAGUGGACAUACCAAGAAGAAGACAAGCUCCACCUCCUCCUUGAGAAGUA